UUCCCUCUGCCGACUAUCGUGAGGUCAUCGACGAUUGAAUCCCGAGUAAGCGUGAACCAGGGGGCCCACUCGAUUACCGUGGUGAGCUAGGCCCGGACUUUUUCACCGGGAAGCCUAAAGCGGUACAGAGGCCCCCACCUAGCAGCGAUGCUAGGGGUUCAAGUCGAUCUCCCACGUCCUCGGUGGUACGGAA
Molecule: non-coding RNA, 193 nt
Filed under: Minicystis rosea
Lineage: Bacteria; Pseudomonadati; Myxococcota; Polyangiales; Polyangiaceae
Description: 6S RNA
Rfam family: 6S / SsrS RNA
About the family: E. coli 6S RNA was the first non coding RNA to be sequenced, but its function was unknown until recently. It consists of 184 nucleotides that fold into an extended hairpin structure with a large single-stranded internal bulge.
Source: RNAcentral